RNAcentral lists this ribosomal RNA (312 nucleotides) under Triticum aestivum (bread wheat). RNAcentral's name for it is "partial small subunit ribosomal RNA". Lineage: Eukaryota; Viridiplantae; Streptophyta; Magnoliopsida; Poales; Poaceae. The record is from RNAcentral.
AUGAUAAAAGGGCAAGCACAAAGCAAUCAGUGCCAUCAGGAAUUGCUAGCCGUUGCCUCAUUUGCUGUGACUGCAGUCUGUAGGAACCUCCUACUCAUCUGGAUAAGAGGGCCAUCAAAAUCACGAUAUACAUAUCUGUGUGGUGAAUUUGAAAUUGUGUGUCUUACCAGCAGCACCGCCUGGACCUUUUAUAUCCGUCCAGGUUCAGAACUGGACAUGAGGUUCAUCCAAACGUUUGAGAACUGCAGGAGGUUAAUUAAAAUGGUUUUUGCAAAAAAGUUAACUGGUGGCGAGCAUAAUAAAAAAUGCUGA